RNAcentral lists this small RNA (561 nucleotides) under Pan troglodytes (chimpanzee). RNAcentral's name for it is "processed transcript". Lineage: Eukaryota; Metazoa; Chordata; Mammalia; Primates; Hominidae. The record is from RNAcentral.
ACAAGAGACAAAUUCCAGAAUGCACCAAGACCGCGAUGCGCAGAGACCAAGGGGGUGUUGGGGCCGUGCACAGGGCACUCUGUGUGUCUUUUGGGGGGAGUGUCUGUGUUUCUGUAUGUGUGCCAGGAGCUUUUCAGCAUCCUUUUGCAUGGGAGGAUUUGGUCAUUCAUUGAGCAUUUUUUGCGUCCCUACUAUGUGCUGGACACAGUGCAAGACAGAACCACAUCAAACCCAGCCACAGCGCAGCACAGACCUGGUGUGGAAGCCCCACUCCCACCUCUGCCCCCAACCACAAGCUCAUGGCUAUGGAACAAGGCAAGAGCCUUCCAUCUGCCACGGAGAAUGCAAAGGAAGAGGGUCUGGAAGCCCAGAUCAGCCGCUUGGCAGAGCUGAUUGGGAGGCUGGAGAGCAAAGCACUGUGGUUCGACCUGCAGCAGCGCCUGUCAGAUGAAGAUGGCACCAACAUGCAUCUGCAGCUGGUCCGGCAGGAGAUGGCCGUGUGCCCCGAGCAACUGAGCGAGUUUCUGGACUCUCUGCGCCAGUAUCUGCAGGGGACCACUG